UUGAACCAUAAAAUUUUCAUUCUAGGCGGGAUGAAAUCAAAAGAAAGUCCUUUGGGCGCGAUUAUUCCCGCUUGUUGUUUUUGAGUAUCUAUAAAUUGAACCCUAAAAUCACCUUUUCUGGGUGAUUAUCAGUUCCGAGGUCAAAAACAUCAAGCUUCACACAGUUCUUCGGAUUGAUUUGAGUUUUUCACUCUCCAGAGACUCAUUCAGGGUUCUUUAAUUUCUGAAGAUGGAAUUUGAGGAAGAGAUGGAAAAUCAGCAAAAUGGGGAUCAAGGAGAGCAUUUCAAUUCCGAAACUACUAGUGAUUUUUUUUUUUUGGGUACUGUUAUGUUUAGAUGUAUUUUUAGUUAAACGUGUACAAAAUGCUUAUGUUACUCUCUAAGCAGUUGUUGUCCAACGAGAGAAAAAGGUGCGAGGUGAUACCACUUUUGCAUCUUUCAUUGGAAAGAAAAAAGAGGAGAAAGAAAGGGAAAUGGUCGACUGGGAUAUGAAGAAAGAGAGACCUUGUGGAAAAAACCAAGCAAAAUAUUCUAGUGUCAUUGGUGUGUUUCUCAAACAAUCUCGCCGUUGGAACUGGGAAAACCCUUGGAAUUUGCAAGAUGACAAUGCUAAGGAUUGGUUGUGGGCCGAACUUAAGGAUUUGUUUGUUGUUGAUGAAUGUCAUAAACAAGGUACCCUGUCUAUUGCUGGUGGAAUAUUUAAAGAUAAGAAGGGCAAGUGGAAAAGGAAACACUAUAAGCUCACAAAUACACAUGCAAUGAAUCUGAAAGAUAAACCCAAUUCGUCAACCGAUGGGCAGUGGAAGUCUCUUGUAAAACUUUGGGAUAGUGAAGCGCAUCAAAAAAAUGCCAUUAGUAGAAGCCAACAGAAAACGAAGCACACAAUGGGCAGGAAAAACUACUCUCGGUGCGAAGCUGAAAUGAGAACGGAGGGAACCCACCAACUGAUGGUGACGUGUUCAUUAAAACCCAUAUAAAUAAAGUCAGUGGAAAAGCUUUGGACCCAUUUUCACAAGGAUACAUUGCCCAAUUAAGGGAACAGUCCGGGUUGGAUGAGAAUAGGUUGGAUGAAGAUGGUAACCAACAUUCAAUCAGUAAUGAAGUCUAUGCAAAUGUAUUACCCACAAAAAGACAUAAACGUAUAAGAUUUCAAAGAUGCCAUCUGCAGUACUUGAGUAAUGAGGAUUUUGAGAGAGAAAAGGAAGAGCGAGAGGAAGAAUUUAAGAGGCAAAUGAAAGAACGAGAUGCAGAAUGGGAGAGGCGAAUGGAACCGCAAAAUGAUCAGUAUAACGUGCUCAGAACCAAAUGAUGGAGUAUGUCAGAUUGUGCAGGCCAGACCUAUUUACGAUAUCGGGACUCUCAGGACCUUCAGAUCACCUUUUCAGAAAUUGGGAGCAUCAUCACAGACCUUGGGAGCAACUAUCUAUACGUGGGCCGACGCCUUCCGUACCUUUGGAGCAGCGCCAAAGACCUGGGGAGCAGCCUGGCAUACCAGAGGAGCAACUUUUUGGACCUUCGUCGCGUUACAGGUGUGGGGAGAAGCCCAGCAGACACGGGCCGACGCAUUUCAUACCUUUGGAGCAGCGCCAAAGACUUGUGGAGCAUCCUGGCAGACCCGAGGAGCUACUUUUUGGACCGGCGGAUCCGCUUUACAUAUCCAGGGACCAUCUAAACAGACCUCAAAAUAAUUCAGGUACGCAGGGAAUGGGAACAGACGUAUGGGAUUGGAUACCUAGGCCGCCUGAGAGUUGAUUUAACAUGAACUAGGCCAAGUUUGAAUUAGUAGGUUAUUUUGUUUAGUUUUGAUUGUGUAAUUUCUUUGUUUCCUUAUGGUUAAGUGGGAUUCUACAUGCCUUUUGACAACUACUUUUAUUUAAUGGAACUUAAAUUCUUCAA
Long non-coding RNA from Papaver somniferum (opium poppy), 1896 nucleotides. RefSeq lists it as uncharacterized. Lineage: Eukaryota; Viridiplantae; Streptophyta; Magnoliopsida; Ranunculales; Papaveraceae. The transcript has 9 exons. The record is from RefSeq and is a predicted model, not a curated record.